GGCUGGUCCGAAGGUAGUGAGUUAAUCUUACUUGACUGUUCACAGUCAGUUACAGAUUGAACUCCUUGUUCUACUCUUGCCCUCCUUCUCACUACUGCACUUGACUAGCCUUCA
Otolemur garnettii (small-eared galago) is the source of this 114-nucleotide unclassified non-coding RNA. It matches the Rfam family "Y RNA". From Rfam's summary of the family: Y RNAs are components of the Ro ribonucleoprotein particle (Ro RNP), in association with Ro60 and La proteins. NCBI's taxonomy places the organism in Eukaryota, Metazoa, Chordata, Mammalia, Primates, Galagidae. The record is from Ensembl.